This is a long non-coding RNA of Triticum urartu, 2677 nucleotides long. RefSeq lists it as uncharacterized. The record is from RefSeq and is a predicted model, not a curated record. NCBI's taxonomy places the organism in Eukaryota, Viridiplantae, Streptophyta, Magnoliopsida, Poales, Poaceae.
AAUUGACAACUCAGCUGCUAAUACUUGAGAAUAUUCUUUGGCUCCCCUUGUGUCGAAUCAAUAAAUUUGGGUUGAAUACUCUUGUGACGCCCCGUUACGUCCAACAGAGUCAGGCGUAACGGAAGCCGUCACUUUAGAGUUGCGCCAGGAUCAGUUAAGGAGAACAAUGUCAUGUACAAGACGGAGCAGCUGCCAUGAGUAGGCAAGCUUUUAUUACAUGGACACCUCAAGUGUCGACUAAGCCUAUGCGGCCAUGACGAUAGAUCGUCACCCGCUUCUAGUACGAGCCUUUUAGACCAACCAUGGAGGGCAUCUACUCUUCAUAGCCUUGAUUGUCGACUUCCUCAUAGUCAUACUCCACUUUAGAAUAACCGAAGUCGUUAAGAUGACCAGACUCAUCAUAAGUACCAUUCUCUAUCGCCUCGGAGUUCUCAUAACUCUCUUGCUCUGAAAAACAACAUAAGUGCAGCUGAGUACGUAUAAAAUACGUACUCCGCAAGUCGUCGGGAAAAGUGGAUGCAUGAGUUUUUAAAGAGGAAAAACUUUAUCGGUCACAGCUACCACCACCGAGCCAUUAUCUCAAAAUCCUAUAUAGGUAAAAAUAUUUUCCCUUAACCAAUUUUGUUGAAAACCAAAUUUUAUUCAUAAAAUCUACUGGGACAGAGCGACGUGGGAUCUUACAUCCUGUGUUAGAGGAAAACCCACACGACGCACUUCCAAUCUCGGAAGCUGGGAGUGAUAUUACAUUUACUCUGAUCAGAGGUGUACUGCUUUGCCCAUAGCAUCACUUGGUACAAGUCGUCCAUGCGCUACCCGUGCGCACGACUAGACCAAGGAACCAGAACCUUUAACCAGCCCGUACACUACCUCUGCUUUUCCACCUUGCCUUACUAAAGGCCCGCGGGUCGAGACCCCUGACCGGCGGUCCCACCCUAGGGUGACUGUACCUACCCGGCUACAGCCACCUUCUCACCCAUGCAGAGGCAGCUACUUGGCAUGGGUAGUCGGUUCAGCCUGUCCCAUUCCAAGUCUAUGGUAAGUACGAUUUGCGCCGCUUUUGAAGUAAGCGCCAGUUGGUUGUGUCCUAAUGUGAUACCCUAUGUAGAGGAGCCCGCCAUCCAAGCCAACCCUACCCGGGUUGCCUUCACCAACAUAAGCUCCUCUACCAACCAAAUAUUUAUUUAUAAUGUAGCCUUGCCCGGGUCACAACUACUCAAUACAGAUACUUCACCUGAUCUGGUCCAAUUGCCAAAUGAGUGGAUCCACCUGAUGCAAAUCUCAUUUCAUUUAUGAAAAAUAUUUAUUUUUAAUUCUUAUGCAAAAUUUUAGAAAUGACCCAUAGCCCGGAAAAUUUUUAUCAAGACAUGAUCAAGGAGAUGACGACUUGCCGGGUAGUGCUUCGACCAACUCGGAACCACCAGAUGCGACUCCUACGAGUCCGAGAUCGACUCUUGAUAAUUAUUUCACAAACCUGUUUAUAAUGCUUAAUUAAAAUCUAAACAUCCAGCAACACGGCCAUGUUGGGCAAGCCAUAAUUAAUUAACUAGGUACUGAUACAUCCUAGUGUUUCAUUGAGAUAUAAAAUGCAUCUAAGCCAUCCAAAUCAGAGUAGCAUGCACGUAUGUCAUCCAGUCCAGAGAGUGAUAAAAGAAAUGAUAAGUAAAAGGAAACAGUAGCCUAGUACUGUACUACUUGUACUUUGCUGGUUAAGCCCCAGCCCGUGUCUAUCCAGAAAGACUACUCAACUUCUCUGCUGUCCCACGAACAGAACCAGCCCGCUCACCUCUCUCUCUCCCCCAAGAACAGAGCACGACCGCCGUCGCCUCGAUCUGCCCCGUCCGGGCAUCUCCGGCGACACGGCGGACACCUACAGAUUCCCCUCAUCUCCCUCUACCAUUUCCCCCUAUUUAUUUGAUCCGCCGCCGCCAAAAACGUCGCCACCACUCAAUCCUAGCGCCGCCUGAUCCAGGUCCGGUGGGCUUGCCACCGGCUGCAGCGGCAACGACGUCUCCAUGCCUACAUCCUCCCCCCAGCGCAGCCACACGCACAAGGCAUGCAGCCACAGGCGUCGGGCCUGUGCGGCUUCACCGGCGCUGCUCGGUUGCCAUGACUUUGCUGCUAACGGUGUGGAGUAGCCACAUCCUACUGCUACUACUGGUAAAUAGAUCAAGGUGAAUAGAUGCUUAUGGACUGAUUCAAACCGAGGUGGAGAUAGAUAAGAAAUCAAGCAAGAAGGGCUAACACAACAAGGUACUUGAUUAAUACCUAGUGGCGCAUGCAACCCAAAGAGCUUCAGAGCAGGGGAAGAUAGCAGUGUGGCAGAAGGUGAAAAGGCAGAGGGGUUUCACUAGCGGAUGAUUGUGUGUGGCCACAGUGAAAGGGAUGGCUCCUAUUUAUUGUGGGGUGAAUAGCUAUGUCGGUUUGGAGAGGCAUUACAUCUGGCACGCAUGCGUGGUUAGUCUUGCAUGCAUGCCUCCACUUGUGCCUCUUGUGGGCUGUACUAGGGACAAGUGUAAUUUGCUUGGCUGGCCAUUAGUUGGCAUUUACUUUGUAUGAAGGAAAUGAGACAAGGGUCUAUAAAAUAUAGGAAGAUUUGGAGAAGAAUUGUUGUGCAUGACUAAAUGCUAUUUGCUGUAAUAAAAAUAAUAAUUAAGUGUAGUUAUUUCUAUUAUUUUAA